RNAcentral lists this ribosomal RNA (462 nucleotides) under uncultured bacterium. Its description in RNAcentral is "partial 16S ribosomal RNA". It matches the Rfam family "Bacterial small subunit ribosomal RNA", at positions 28 to 507 of the family's 1533-position model. The record is from RNAcentral.
GACGAACGCUGGCGGCGUGCUUAACACAUGCAAGUCGAGCGGAAAGGCCCUUCGGGGUACUCGAGCGGCGAACGGGUGAGUAACAUGUGAGUAACCUGCCCCAGACUUUGGGAUAACCCUCGGAAACGGGGGCUAAUACCGGAUACGACACAGCUUCGCAUGGGGUCUGUGUGGAAAGUUUUUCGGUUUGGGAUGGGCUCGCGGCCUAUCAGCUUGUUGGUGGGGUGAUGGCCUACCAAGGCGACGACGGGUAGCCGGCCUGAGAGGGCGACCGGCCACACUGGGACUGAGACACGGCCCAGACUCCUACGGGAGGCAGCAGUGGGGAAUAUUGCACAAUGGGCGGAAGCCUGAUGCAGCGACGCCGCGUGAGGGAUGACGGCCUUCGGGUUGUAAACCUCUUUCAGCAGGGACGAAGCGUAAGUGGCGGUACCUGCAGAAGAAGCGCCGGCCAACUACGUG